UAUUAGUAUACAUUUGUAUAUGCAGCUGUAUGGCAGUUAAAUUUACACAUUAUAGGUUUCUAGGUAUACCUAGAAAAUUUAAUAAAAAGGUACCUACGUCAGAAGUUCAGGACGGCUGUUGCGGAGCGCCGGAGCCCGGAGCUCAGUCGUGAGUUGUCUGCCGUCGGUGGUGGGUUAAAUGUUCAGUGAUUUCGUUUUAUUAUGCGUAACGCCUAAUGGUUUUUUUUCAUAUACCACACACAUUCCCGUUCAUAAAUAACUAUUAUACUUACAAUAUAUUUAUAUUAUUUAUAUAGAUAGAUAGUUAAGUUUACUAAAAAAUAAAACUAUAUUUUUUAAAAAAUAUAUAUUAUUUUAAUUUAGUUUAAUUUAAUCUUCUGUCCAAUACCUCCGUAUGGGUACCUAUAAUGUGUUAAUG
Molecule: long non-coding RNA, 418 nt
Organism: Aphis gossypii (cotton aphid)
Lineage: Eukaryota; Metazoa; Arthropoda; Insecta; Hemiptera; Aphididae
Exons: 2
Source: RefSeq, a predicted model, not a curated record